GACGAACGCUGGCGGCGUGCUUAACACAUGCAAGUCGAACGAUGAAGCCUUUCGGGGUGGAUUAGUGGCGAACGGGUGAGUAACACGUGGGUAACCUGCCCUGUACCCUGGGAUAAGCCUUGGAAACGAGGUCUAAUACCGGAUAUGACCUGCUCUCGCAUGGGGUGGUGGAAGUUUGCGUGCAGGAUGGACCGCGGCCUAUCAGCUUG
This 209-nucleotide ribosomal RNA is filed under the name uncultured bacterium. Its description in RNAcentral is "partial 16S ribosomal RNA". It matches the Rfam family "Bacterial small subunit ribosomal RNA", at positions 28 to 248 of the family's 1533-position model. The record is from RNAcentral.